Molecule: ribosomal RNA, 671 nt
Filed under: uncultured Bacteroidota bacterium
Lineage: Bacteria; Pseudomonadati; Bacteroidota
Description: SSU rRNA
Rfam family: Bacterial small subunit ribosomal RNA
Source: RNAcentral
UAGUUGGUGAGGGUAACGGCCUACCAAGGCGACGAUAGGUAGCUGGUGUGAGAGCACGACCAGCCACACGGGCACUGAGACACGGGCCCGACUCCUACGGGAGGCAGCAGUGAGGAAUAUUGGUCAAUGGACGCAAGUCUGAACCAGCCAUGCCGCGUGAAGGAUGAAGGCGUUCUGCGUUGUAAACUUCUUUUGCGGGGGAAGAAACCUUCUUUUUCUAAGGAAGCCGACGGUACCCCGAGAAUAAGCACCGGCUAACUCCGUGCCAGCAGCCGCGGUAAUACGGAGGGUGCAAGCGUUAUCCGGAUUUACUGGGUUUAAAGGGUGUGUAGGCGGACUUUUAAGUCAGCGGUGAAAUCUCCGGGCUCAACCCGGAAACUGCCAUUGAUACUAUAGGUCUUGAAUGUUGUUGAGGUGGGCGGAACGGGUCAUGUAGCGGUGAAAUGCAUAGAUAUGACCCGGAACACCGAUUGCGAAGGCAGCCCACUAAGCAACGAUUGACGCUGAGGCACGAAAGCGUGGGGAUCAAACAGGAUUAGAUACCCUGGUAGUCCACGCCCUAAACGAUGAUUACUCGACGUUGGCGAUACACCGAUCAGCGUCCAAGCGAAAGCAUUAAGUAAUCCACCUGGGAAGUACGUUCGCAAGAAUGAAACUCAAAGGAAUGGACG